GCUAUUUUCGAAUGCUCAUGGACAAACCGAUCGAGCUGGCUUGUGGUAGUCUGGCUUGGUCGCGAGUAGAGUCUCAAAGUCCCUGCUGCCACUCAGAACCUGCUGCCACUCAGAACACCUCGAUGACCUGAACACCUCCGUCUGCCGUCUGAGAACCGUUAGGAAGUGUGUGUGCAAAACGUGGUCACCACCUUAGAAUUCAUAAGGACAGCAUGUGUGGGACUACACCUACUGAGCAUACCAGAAGACGCAACUAACUCAAAUCUAAACUGAUUAUGCACAACUCUAGCAGGAGGACAGGUGAGAACAAUUAUUAUUGUUAAUACGCCUCUAACCUUGGGUGCAAGUGAGCUCACGUAGAGUGGCCAGUGGGAGUGUGGCCGGUGGGAGUGCUAUCCUGAGACGCCGCAUGUACGAAAGUGGGUGAGCGGUGGUGAUGAGGCCAUACAAAUGAGCAACGAGAUCAGGACGACUGGGCACGAAGAGCGGGAGAAGCAGCUAAAGGGUGAUUUCGUCUUCAAUACCAAGUUAUGACUUAUGAAACGGUAAAUAAAUCCAGGACUUUUUUAACCAAACAAUUCCAUCUUAGCAUCCGAAUGUGAAGAUUGCUUCCGAGAAGAACUCAAGAGUCAGGAUGGCUGGGAGAAGAUUGAAAACAUGUGAGGGUACAUUAACCAAUAAUACAUGCACACAAACAACUGUGUACAAUGCACUUACGAUGUAUUUAAUUUAAUUUAGAGAGCUUGGUGGGGAUAAGUGACCUUCCAAAUUUGUAACAUUGAUCACCCCAAUUAACAGUUCAAUGUAUUGCAAUUCUUAUAUUUCAAGGUUGAACUAUAUAGCAGGUUGAGCCUUAUUAGUUAUUGCAGUCUAUAAUUAGUAACUAUUCUAGAACAUUCUGACAGGUUAACUAUGUGUAUAAUUGUUUUUGUGUCAGUCUUCCAUUAAACAUAAACUUUGAACAGGUUAUGGACAGGUUAUGGGCCCAGUCAACGCGAGGACUGUAGGAGACAAGACUCAGAAGUAAAAAAAGAACUAAGUCUUCAGGCAAUUGCAGAACUAGAUCUAGCUACACGUUUGAGUAGCUACACGUUUGAGGGUAGCUACACGUUUGAGAAAGUCUAGUAUGGAAAAAUUGGAUAACUUGGAAGUUUCAGAUGAACUAUGGAGAAGUGCUGCAGCGGUACGGACUAAUUUUCAGCAAAAGACGCUUUUUCUUUUUCGUCAUGGCAGUCCAAGGACAGCACUCAAUUUAGGAAUAGCAGUACUUCAGAAUGGAAAUGAGGAAAUGACUACACACCUUGAAAGAACUUACCGACAGAUUGAUGCGCCAGGUGGUUACGCUCUUAGACCCAAACCAUAUGCUACCGUUGUCACAGCUCACAGUUGGAGAGACUAACUCCUAACUCUACAACAGUUGAUACUUCAUGAGGAGAGAGACACAAAACGAAGCGACAAAUACCAGCAGAGGAGACUUGGAGCUGCAACCACGCCUGACAAGAGCUCAGGACUGUCCAAAUUAAAAUGACGUGGAAUUUUGUUAUAAUGAUAUUCAUGCGUGCGACGUCAUCGCUUUGGAAUGUUUAUCACGUGCGUGGGUGGCAAAUGUCUGUAAUUACUAGUGAGGGCGGAGCUUGGGUCACAUGACACUGUAUUAAAGUUGACCGUAGCCUGAAAGCAUUUGUUGUAGGCUACCUGCCUUAACCCUUUCCCGGCUUUAGCCGUCAUAUGACGCGAGCUAUGCGCAGUACCAGCACAUGCGCAUUGGGCUGCUCUUUCACGUGGUAUCUACGCUUCAUGCAGUACUGUCGAAAGAAAAGUGACCGUUUGCUACAAGAUCUUCGUAGUACAACCUUAGCGAGGUUCUAGGGCAGCUAGACAGUGCCUUGUUGAGUAAGAGGACAGUGACUGGGAUCAUACCAAGAGAGGAAACUACUUUUCAGAGGUCAAGCUAUAAAUAUAGAGCCUGAAGAACCGGAGGAAGAAGCAUGAACCAAAGUCCUGGAGCUUGUGAAGAAAACGUUUCCCGAUAUGACCUCGCAGACUGCUGAUUGAACCAUGAACCAUGUCACCGUGAGAACAUUGAGAACACUUAUUUAGUGUCUUUAGUUAUUCAUACAAUAUUCAUAAUUGUGAAAUGUGUAAAAAAAAUUGUUAAUUAUUGGGGGUGGUCAGUUGCUAGGUAACGAUGAUGAUGUCAUGGUACCCCCAGGAUAUGGGGUACCUGUAGGAAAUAGUUGCAAGUGAUUACAAUGCAUGGUUCAUGAGAUAUGUAUUUUUAAAGAAUUUAUUCUGUAUUUUGUUUUUUUAAUUAAAGCCGGGAAGGGUUAAACUAAGACUUGCCUUAACCGUCACGGGCCACAAUCGGGCCACAAUCGUGGCCCGCAAUAGUGAAUUUUUUUGCGAAAUUCUAAUUCUGCGAUACUUAGGAAGAAGUAGCUCGAACUAUGCACAUCCCUGUAUAGAGGAAGAGCUGUAGAAUCACGUGCAAUUUAGUCUAGAAUUUUCCAAGCCACGUUGCUAUGUUAAAAUUUCAUUAGCAUCUUAGAUGUGCCGAUAUGCUUGAACAGCUUGAGGACAGCAAUGGCGAUGUCUCCUCUGGUGAUGACAGUGCUUAUGAAGGAGAGGGGAUAGUAGGAUACCUCCCAAAGGCUACCAGCUUUAUGCACGCUGAUGAACUGUCUGGGACUGAGGACAUGCAUGACAUGGACCUAGACGCUAGAGCUAUGGACCAGGACGGUGAAAGACCAGGAGAGGGCUCACUGUGUGUCUCUGGCAAGUAGUAGCUAGAAUAUCAGUAGUAAGUAUAGUAUAGCUAAAAUAGAAUUAGCAGUAAUAUAGAAUUAGCAGUAAUGAACAGUCUUUAUGUGAGCUUGUAAAUUUCAUAGAUCGUUCACCGAUAUAGUAGAUAUAGUAAUACAUGUACGUAACAUGUACUUCAAAUUGAUAUAUCUUAGCACUGUUACAUUCAUAUGAUGUGAAAAUCAAGCUUAGUCAAGCUUGGGAUUUUAUCUCACCGCUGGCCGAGCAUAAUAACCGUGGUGGUUGUUAUGGCAACACAUGUUGCACCAUUUUAUUCCUUGUUGUAUGGGCAUUCUAAUGGUAUAUGGUUCUAGGCAUUUUAUUGCUCUGGAAACCCGAUAGAGAAUUUACAGACCUCAUUGUUAAUUAAGAAUCCGACGGUUAAAGGAAGACUAUUAGAUAGUCUCUGGGUAGCCAUCCAAAAUGAAGCUCAAUUUCCAAAAAACUAAUUAGCUUAAUUCAAUUAUGCUAAUUAGUCCCAUAAAAUGGUGAUGACGUCAUGGCAGUUUUGUAAGAAGAACUACAAAUGCGGACAUGAAGAAGCUAAGAUCAAGCUUCAA
Molecule: long non-coding RNA, 3362 nt
Organism: Halichondria panicea
Lineage: Eukaryota; Metazoa; Porifera; Demospongiae; Suberitida; Halichondriidae
Exons: 2
Source: RefSeq, a predicted model, not a curated record